GAUGAACGCUGGCGAUAUGCUUAACACAUGCAAGUCGUACGAAGAUAAAAUUGUGCUUGCACGCUUUUAUACUUAGUGGCGGACGGGUGAGUAACACGUAAGAAUCUACCUUUUGGCGAGGGACAACCACUGGAAACGGUGGCUAAUACCUCAUAUAACUGAGAAGUGAAAGAUGAAAAUCACCAAGAGAUGAGCUUGCGUCUGAUUAGCUAGUUGGUAAGGUAAAGGCUUACCAAGGCGACGAUCAGUAGCUGGUCUGAGAGGAUGAUCAGCCACACUGGGACUGAGACACGGCCCAGACUCCUACGGGAGGCAGCAGUGAGGAAUUUUCCGCACCGGGCGAAAGCCUGACGGAGCAAUACCGCGUGAAGGAUUAAGGCCUAUGGGUUGUAAACUUCUUUUC
This 403-nucleotide ribosomal RNA is filed under the name uncultured bacterium. Its description in RNAcentral is "bacterial SSU rRNA". It matches the Rfam family "Bacterial small subunit ribosomal RNA", at positions 28 to 438 of the family's 1533-position model. The record is from RNAcentral.